GAUGAAGAACGUAGCGAAAUGCGAUAAGUAGUGUGAAUUGCAGAAUUCAGUGAAUCAUCGAAUCUUUGAACGCACAUUGCGCCCCUUGGUAUUCCAUGGGGCAUGCCUGUUCGAGCGUCAUUUGUACCUUCAAGCUCUGCUUGGUGUUGGGUGUUUGUCUCGCCUCUGCGUGUAGACUCGCCUCAAAACAAUUGGCAGCCGGCGUAUUGAUUUCGGAGCGCAGUACAUCUCGCGCUUUGCACUCAUAACGACGACGUCCAAAGGUACAUUUUUACACUCUUGACCUCGGAUCAGGUAGGGAUACCCGCUGAACUUAAGCAUAUCAAAGCGAGGA
Molecule: unclassified non-coding RNA, 334 nt
Filed under: soil metagenome
Description: partial contains 5.8S ribosomal RNA, internal transcribed spacer 2, and large subunit ribosomal RNA
Rfam family: 5.8S ribosomal RNA (bases 1-120)
Source: RNAcentral